GAUGAACGCUAGCGGCAGGCUUAACACAUGCAAGUCGAGGGGCAGCAUAAAUAGUAGCAAUACUAUUGGUGGCGACCGGCGGACGGGUGCGUAACGCGUAUACAACCUUCCCUAAACAGGGGGAUAAUCUGGAGAAAUUCGGUCUAAUACCCCAUAACAUCAGAGCAGGCAUCUGUUUUGGUUAAAAUUUCCGGAGGUUUAGGAUGGGUAUGCGUAGCAUUAGCUAGUUGGUGAGGUAACGGCUCACCAAGGCGACGAUGCUUAGGGGGACUGAGAGGUUAACCCCCCACACUGGUACUGGGACACGGACCAGACUCCUACGGGAGGCAGCAGUGAGGAAUAUUGGUCAAUGGGCGGAAGCCUGAACCAGCCAUGCCGCGUGCAGGAUGACGGCUCUAUGAGUUGUAAACUGCUUUUGUACGAGGGUAAAGUGGGCUACGUGUAGCCUUUUGAAAGUAUCGUACGAAUAAGGAUCGGCUAACUCCGUGCCAGCAGCCGCGGUAA
RNAcentral lists this ribosomal RNA (504 nucleotides) under uncultured bacterium. RNAcentral's name for it is "partial 16S ribosomal RNA". It matches the Rfam family "Bacterial small subunit ribosomal RNA", at positions 28 to 523 of the family's 1533-position model. The record is from RNAcentral.